RNAcentral lists this ribosomal RNA (293 nucleotides) under uncultured bacterium. Its description in RNAcentral is "partial 16S ribosomal RNA". The record is from RNAcentral.
GGACUACCGGGGUUUCUAAUCCCGUUCGCUCCCCUAGCUUUCGCCCCCGAGCGUCAGGGACCAGCCAGGACACUGCCUUCGCCUUUGGUGUUCUUCCAGAUAUCUACGCAUUUCACCACUACACCUGGAGUUCCAUGUCCCUCUCUGGUCCUCAAAGUGCGGCCGUUUUUGCACGCCUGCCCCAGUUAAGCUGGGACCUGUCAGUGCAAACGCGCCACACCGCCUGCGGGCGCUUUACGCCCAGUAACUCCGGACAACGCUUGUCCCCUACGUAUUACCGCGGCGGCUGGCAC